AAGUCGUAACAAGGUUUCCGUAGGUGAACCUGCGGAAGGAUCAUUAUCCAUUGCAGUAGUGCUUCGUCUUCGAGCCACUACACCGCGCUCAAAUGCUCAGUGCAAGCUUGCUCGCAUGAGAAAGCUUGCGCUUCAUUUACAAAAUCCAUGCAUGCGUUUGCAUGGUCGGGUACCUAUUUUAUGCGUGUGCGCAUGCGUACGCAUAAAAGAAGCGAUCAUUGGCCUUUUUUGUGAUCGUGUGGCGUAAAGAUUAUUCAACUACUUGAAUAACGCCCGCUUGGCUACACAACUCUUUUUAUACAAUAUUUAUUGCAUUGCUCUUAUGGUUUAUGUGUAAAAGUUGUCACGUUUUUCUAUCGGCACGAUAGAACUAGGACACCAAAACACACAUACAACCCUAUGCGGUGGAUCACUUGGCUC
This 420-nucleotide unclassified non-coding RNA is filed under the name fungal sp. RNAcentral's name for it is "partial internal transcribed spacer region". The stretch from base 1 to 46 matches the Rfam family "Eukaryotic small subunit ribosomal RNA", at positions 1786 to 1831 of the family's 1831-position model. The record is from RNAcentral. Lineage: Eukaryota; Fungi.